This 253-nucleotide ribosomal RNA is filed under the name uncultured bacterium. RNAcentral's name for it is "partial 16S ribosomal RNA". It matches the Rfam family "Bacterial small subunit ribosomal RNA", at positions 524 to 776 of the family's 1533-position model. The record is from RNAcentral.
UACAGAGGGUGCGAGCGUUAAUCGGAAUUACUGGGCGUAAAGCGCACGUAGUCGGCUUUGCAAGUCGGGUGUGAAAUCCCCGGGCUCAACCUGGGAACUGCAUCCGAGACUGCAUUGCUAGAGUAUGGGAGAGGGAGGCGGAAUUUCUGGUGUAGCAGUGAAAUGCGUAGAUAUCAGAAGGAACAUCAGUGGCGAAGGCGGCUUCCUGGACCAAUACUGACGAUCAGGUGCGAAAGCGUGGGGAGCAAACAGG